This is a long non-coding RNA of Cryptomeria japonica (Japanese cedar), 5003 nucleotides long. RefSeq lists it as uncharacterized. The record is from RefSeq and is a predicted model, not a curated record. The transcript has 3 exons. NCBI's taxonomy places the organism in Eukaryota, Viridiplantae, Streptophyta, Pinopsida, Cupressales, Cupressaceae.
AUUUUAACAAUAUUUGACAGCCUAAAAGAUGGAAGGGUAAAACAUAAGCACAGGAAAGGAAAUACUUCUGUGGGAAGUAAAUUGAAGAAGGGCAUGUAAGAUGCAACCACCACAUCAGUGAAACCUUACAAUACAUUAAAUCUUUCUUCCUUGUACAGGUGAAGAAAUUAGUAGCUAAAAAUGAGCAGGAAUUGGCUGAAGCAGAUCUUUAAGCACAGAGAAUUUAGGUUGAUGCAACUGAUGUGCUGAGACAAAGAGGAAACUCCAUGACCUGCAAACCUAUUCAUUUUUAAGUGUAGUUAUGAGAAAUGCAAGAGUUUUCUGUUUUCUGAUGGCACUGCAAUAUAAUUUUCUGUUUAUGAUCUGUUACACGUGAAGUUUUGUUGAAAGAUAUAUGAAGGGCUAAUGGUUAAAGCUGAAAAAGGGUUUUCAAGUAAAAUUUGGAGUACAUUAAUUUUUUUGUUAGUGAAAUUUAUUACACUGAUUUGUUUCCUGUAAUUUUGAUGAGGUGAUGUGGUAAGUGAUUUGUAUCACAGUCUAAGCCCUCUAAAUUUAAACAUAAACAAAGUGGCUCUUGUUGAGGACUGUUUUAGGAUUUACCCUAAAGGACGGAAAACCGGAAGGUCAGACUGGCUCCUUUUUGGAAAAAGUCAUGCGGCUCAAGUUGAGAGUUACAUUUCAGCAAUCAUCACAAUAGGUCUAAUCUAAAGCAGAGUUGGGAGUAAACACCAUGAAAUGAAGACAAAUGCUACUUGAACUUCAACCCAAACCAGAUUACCUAUAAAUAUAGAAAAUUCCAAACAAUUUGUACAAUGACGGGAUGAAAAAUUUGAGCCGUUGUAGUGAACGCCGUUUUCAACAAAUAGCUAAUAUUCACCAAAAAAAUUCAAAAAUAUGUCUGUGAAAUCGCUAUUUCUAUCUCUGUAGACGAAUAAACUAUAAUUUUCAUGUCCCGUUCAUCACAAAUCUCUCUCUUUUGGCAACAGAGAAAAUCUCCAGAGAGGGAAUAUAUUCUGAUAGUUUUAGAUCCACCUAUCCAAAACAAACAUUUUCUGUUAAAAAUAUGGCAGGGAUUAAACAGCGGCCAAAUUUUCUCAUCUUUUUGAACAAAGCUCAAGCAAACGACGUUUGGGGUAAAUUCAGCUCUAACAACGAUUUCAAUAAACAUUGAAGCUAACCUAUAGUUGAAGCAGGGCAAGUGUCGAGCACAUGUUGGUAGUUGCGAAACACUGCAAAAUUAAACAUCCUUAACGCCAAGUUUAAUUAGGUUGUGGAGGUCGUGGGUUUGCAGGCGGUGACGAGCAUUUCUCUUCACAUUAAAUGGACUGCUAGACGAGCCAUGGGGUAGAUCAACAUGUACGGUUUUCAUUAUCUCUACAUACAGAUUUUAAGUCAUAGCACAUCAAAAAUUACGAAAUCUACAGAAAUCAUAGCACAUCACCUGACAUUUUCAAUAUACAUCUCACAAAAGAGCUGACAAAUGCGUCAGACAAGACAGGAUAUCAAUCCUGGAAAAACUUUCCUGAAAUCGAUCCGAAAUAAAAAAUCGGCCUCAGGUGGGUGUUUCUUCCAUAUAAUAGCCUAUUGGCUAACAAGGCGCUCAAACAGAUCUUGCUCAAGAUUUGAGAGGUUGUCAUCUUAAUUGCUCCAACCUGUACAUUGUACCAUCCGUAGAAUUUACUUGGAUUCGGUAGGGGUCGUUUGAGAUACAUUUUUAAUGCUUGUUCCUGUUCGCCUCAAAAGUUAGUUUUCUAUAAUGCAUGACUUUGUAUUUUGCCAAACACUCUCCCUGAAAGAGUUCAGCUCCUCAGAGCUGUUCGAGAAUGUAAGUCUGAAUGACAUAGUAUUUAGCAUAUGAGCUGCAGCUCAGGAAGUCGUUGUACUGUAUAUUUUGAUUAAUGAAAACUUUGACUUUGUCUUAUUUUUUAUGCUCUCCUUCAUUCCUAGAUCUGGUAUUAGAGCCAAGGUUUGUAGAUGUGAGAAAGAACGAGAAAUGGUUGUGAGAGGCUGAGAGCCAGUGGAGUCCAGUUGAGUCUAUCGUAGUUAAAGUUUGAAAAGAUUUGAAGGUCAAGAAAUUGACAUUGUCUCCUAUAACAAAGAUUUUAUCACCCUUUAGUUUAAAAAGCCGUUGACUUGAGAAGUUAGUAAUAGCCCACUUCAGAAGACAAAUGAAGUUAGUUUUAAAAGCUUCUGUCAAUGCAACCUCGUCUUUAGAGGUCCGAAUCAAGCAAGCGCUUUCUAAGAGCUGAAAAGUCUUCCUCCCCACAUCUCCAUUUUUUUUCGUUUGCACCUCUUCUCUCUCUUCCCCUCCAUCCCCUACAACAAGAUUAUUCUUCUCCAUUUUUGCAUUACCUUCUUUACCAAUUUUCUCACUAUCAGCCCCCUCUUCCAUAUUUCCCCAAAUUUCCUUAGACAACAUAAACACAUUCUUAAAACCAACAAAACAAACUUUAUUCUUGAUCUUAUCGCAGACCCCAAAAAACUUGGUCUUCAACCCUCAUUAACUUCUUAUACAGUUGCUCAUUACUAUACGAACCAUCCAAAUCCUUUCUAACAAUCUCAUAAAAAACCCCCAUAUUUUUUAGUAAACUUAUCUUUUUUCCACGACGCCACAAGCCUCUUUUGCAAUGCGAUGUCUUAAGCGCGGCCUAAUUUGGACUGCUAAAAAAAAUAAGUUGAGGAGUUUACCCAAAAAUAUGGGGUGUUUUAAUGAGAUACUUAGGAAGGAUUUGGAUGGUCCGUAUAAGAAGUUAAAGGGGUUGAAGACCAAGUUUUGUGGGGCUUGCAAUAAGAUAAAAAAUAAAGUUUUUUUUUUUUUUUUUUUCAAAGAAUGCACAUGAAGAGACCGUUUAUGUUGUCUAGGGAAAUUUGGGGAAAUAGGGAAGAGGAGGCUGGUAGUGAGAAAAUGGGUAGGGAAGUAAUGCAAGAAUAAUCUUGUUGUGGGGAUGGAGGGGAAGAGAGAGAAGAGGAAGCUUCGCAUGUGUCUGAAAGUUUGCGCAACAGGGUUGCAGGCAUGGAGAGAAAGGUGAGGAGAAUGUCGGAGAAGAGAAGGAAGCUUCUGGGGAAAAUGUGGGGGAAUAAGAGAAUUCUUCUGAGGAGAGUGAAAAUGACUGAGCAGCGCCGAACUCUCCUUACCACUCAAUUCAUUUUCACUCCCAAUAACAAAAUUUUGAGUGCUGGUAGUCGCAAAUCUUCUUCUACCAUUGGCCUUUCUAGGUUUUCCCUGAAUCUUCUUAUACGUUACAUUGAGAAUGGUUUGUCUGCUGUCACUAACCAGGUACAUCACAUAUGCUUUAUUCUUCUUUUACUUUCUGCUCUUUAGUUUGUAAUGGAUUUUAGAUUUAUACGGCUCCCUAUAGGGUUUGGACUGCACAAAAAUGGACAAUGGCAGAUUUUUCUAAAUUGUUUUAAGGCAUUUCAGAGGGGGCAAAAAUGUUUUCGGGACCUUGAUGUAUUUUGAUUUUUGACAAUCAAGACUUUAAAAAUCGUAAUUUUCUUUCGUGUUGUAAUGGUGGCCUUUUUUGGGUGAUUUGAUUUAGAAAAUUUUCAAGUCCCGGCUUUCUACCGAAGCACAUUCAAUGGCGGUUGACGUGUUGAAAGGAUUGGGGAAUGCAGUGGGGCUUUUAGCGAUAGCCAAUGUUUUAGAAAGAUUAGACAACAUUUCUUCAAAUGACAGGGAAUUCAUCGACCUUCUCAAAGAUAUGCUUAAGCUAGGAAUAUAUAUUUGAAGCUAAUGAAAGAUCUCAUUGUUAAAUUCUACAAAGAGGUUUUGGACGAUAUGCAUGAACCUGUUCAAAUGAUACUUUCUGGUGCGAUUUUCUGUCGUUCCUUUAUCUCAUCAAAUAAAUUAUCCAAGUAAGUCAUCAACAAGGAAUUUGUUUCCAUACAUUCACUGAUAAAUUUAUCUGCUCAAAAGAUACAGAGCAUUGUUCUGCUGCGUUGACUUCCUAAAAUGCCUCAUACAGUAAAUGAAAAGAAAGUUCCUUUUGACCAAAAAGAUCCGAGAUGAACUUGUCUAUAUUCGCGGAAAAGUAAAUUCUUUCAAAGCGGAUCUUCAGGGUCACGUGCAGCUUCUGAUGAUGAAGACACUUACCUCCAUCCAAGAGCAAUAUAUUACAGGUCGAAACGAGGAGAACAUCUCCCUUGGAACGAUGGAAGAAUACCAAUCCUUUCAACACAGAGCAGAAUGUUAAAACAGAGCUCCAUGGAUCAGACUCAGACACUGCUUCUUCUCAGGGACAAGAUAAAUGAGUACAAACAACUGGAAAUACCAGUAGUUAGCUCUUCCCAGAUGAGUAAAUUUGUUAGAAAAGUAAUUCCAACUAUAUUCAGACGGCGGCCAAAAUUUCUACCCCAUCUAGAAUUACAAAUGUUGGUGAAGGAGAUCCAACCAUCUCAAAUUGAGUAUAAUUCGACGAAUUGUGCAGGGCAACUAGAGGGUUCAGUGAAAGUCUAGGAACAGGGGCUUUCGGGUUUGUUUGCGGUGCAAGUUCCCUUUGAAUUUAAACUGUCAAUUAAAGCUGAUUACGUAUAAAUAUUUGAUUAGAAAAAUGAAUUCUAUUUGGUAGAAAGCAAAUAGCAGUUAAGGUCUAAGCAAUGAAAGUUGAACUUUUAAAUAGCGGAAAAGCCAGUUAAGAUCUCUGAUAAUUUAUCCUUUUAAAGGGAAUUCUGUCUGGUGGAAGACGAGUGGCAGUAAAGAUCUUGGGCAAGAAAAGGAUUAUUGAUGACAAAACAGCGUGGAUGAAUCGUACUGUUAUUCUGAUAUUGUGUUGGUGUUGUUUCGGCUUCAGAAGCAAUGCCAGUAAAAAUUUCACUUUAACUGUUUAAGUCGGUGAUACCAGUAUUGUAGAGUAGUGAAAUUGGUCUCUUAUCUCUGUAUAAGGAUGUUUUGUCUGCAAAACUUAUUUUAUUGCUCUGCUAAAAGCUCUUUUUGUUGGCAUCAAGCUGGUGACAUGUCAAAAGAUACAAGCAUUUACUAAAUUAAAUAGAGAUUUAUAGUUAGU